Molecule: ribosomal RNA, 258 nt
Filed under: uncultured bacterium
Lineage: Bacteria
Description: partial 16S ribosomal RNA
Rfam family: Bacterial small subunit ribosomal RNA
Source: RNAcentral
UACGUAGGGUGCGAGCGUUGUCCGGAAUUAUUGGGCGUAAAGAGCUCGUAGGCGGUCUGUCGCGUCGAAUGUGAAAACCCGGGGCUCAACUCCGGGCUUGCAUUCGAUACGGGCAGGCUAGAGUUCGGUGAGGGAGUCGUGGAAUUCCUGGUGUAGCGGUGGAAAUGACGCAGAGUAUCAGGAGGAACACCGGUGGCGAAGGCGGGACUCUGGGCCGAUACUGACGCUGGAGGAGCGAAAGCGUGGGGAGCGAACAGG